Molecule: ribosomal RNA, 440 nt
Filed under: uncultured bacterium
Lineage: Bacteria
Description: partial 16S ribosomal RNA
Rfam family: Bacterial small subunit ribosomal RNA
Source: RNAcentral
CCUACGGGAGGCAGCAGUGGGGAAUAUUGCACAAUGGGGGAAACCCUGAUGCAGCGACGCCGCGUGAGUGAAGAAGUAUUUCGGUAUGUAAAGCUCUAUCAGCAGGGAAGAAAAUGACGUUACCUGAUUAAGAAGCCCCGGCUAACUACGUGCCAGCAGCCGCGGGAAGACGGAGGGGGCAAGCGUUAUCCGGAUUUACUGGGUGGAAAGGGAGCGUAGACGGCAGCACAAGUCUGGAGUGAAAUGCCGGGGCUUAACCCCGGAACUGCUUUGGAAACUGGGCAGCUAGAGUGCAGGAGAGGUAAGUGGAAUUCCUGGUGUAGCGGUGAAAUGCGUAGAUAUCAGGAGGAACACCAGUGGCGAAGGCGGCUAACUGGACUGUAACUGACGUUGAGGCUCGAAAGCGUGGGGAGCAAACAGGAUUAGAUACCCCUGUAGUC